CGUAACGCGUAUGCAAUCUACCUUUAACCGGGACAUAACCACGAGAAAUUGUAGCUAAUAUCCCAUGUGAUUAUUUUUUGGCAUCAAGGAGUAAUUAAAAUUCAGAUGGUUAAAGAUGGGCAUGCGUCCCAUUAGCUAGUUGGUGAGGUAACGGCUCACCAAGGCCACGAUGGGUAGGGGUUCUGAGAGGAUGAUCCCCCACACUGGUACUGAGACACGGACCAG
Molecule: ribosomal RNA, 225 nt
Filed under: uncultured bacterium
Lineage: Bacteria
Description: partial 16S ribosomal RNA
Rfam family: Bacterial small subunit ribosomal RNA
Source: RNAcentral